UGGGGAAUUUUGCGCAAUGGGCGAAAGCCUGACGCAGCGACGCCGCGUGGGUGAUGAAGGCCUUCGGGUUGUAAAGCCCUGUGGGGAGGGAAGAAUAAGGGGCGGCUAAUACCCGCACCGAUGACGGUACCUCCUUAGCAAGCACCGGCUAACUCUGUGCCAGCAGCCGCGGUAAGACAGAGGGUGCAAACGUUGUUCGGAAUUACUGGGCGUAAAGCGCGUGUAGGCGGUCUAGCAAGUCGGAUGUGAAAGCCCUUGGCUCAACUGAGGAAGUGAAUUCGAAACUGCGAGAAUUGAGGCCCGGAGAGGAUGGUGGAAUUCUCGGUGUAGAGGUGAAAUUCGUAGAUAUCGAGAGGAAAACCGGUGGCGAAGGCGGCCAUCUGGACGGUGACUGACGCUGAGACGCGAAAGCAUGGGGAGCAAACAG
RNAcentral lists this ribosomal RNA (427 nucleotides) under uncultured bacterium. RNAcentral's name for it is "bacterial SSU rRNA". It matches the Rfam family "Bacterial small subunit ribosomal RNA", at positions 355 to 775 of the family's 1533-position model. The record is from RNAcentral.